Molecule: long non-coding RNA, 1613 nt
Filed under: Bos taurus (domestic cattle)
Lineage: Eukaryota; Metazoa; Chordata; Mammalia; Artiodactyla; Bovidae
Description: long non-coding RNA NONBTAT010795
Source: RNAcentral
AGAGAAAUAUGAAGAUUCACAAUUAGAGUUGAAACUCCAAAUUGUGAUAAUAAUUAUCAGAGCCAUACCACUGAAAAAUAUAACUACUCUUUUAUCUUUUUUUCUUUACUCAUAAAGCUAAUCAUGUAGGAUUUGAUGACACCAUCUCAGUGGUUCUCAACCACGACAGCACUGUCAGCAAACGGUGUUUGGUGAUGCUGGGGUAUAUUUUUGGUUGUCUGGGAGUAUAUUUAGUGCCCAAUGCCCCAAUCCUAUGUGCCAGGCCCACCCAAUAAAACAAUUAAAUACAAAAAGCCCAUGGCAUUGUCCCUUCCUUCACCAAGAAACUUAGCUAAACCUGGCAGUUGUAGAGUUCCACAUCUCAUUUUUUUCCCCAUAAACAUAAUUACCCAAGUCAAAAGAUGCAUUUUCAGAAUUACAACUACUUAUGCAAUCUGAAUUUUGUCAAUUCAUGUCAUUUAUCUUAAAUCCUUACUUAUGGAAAUUGUUUCUUUCCCCUGAAGAAUGCUGGUAGAAAGUUUUUAUGAAACAGCUAAAUUUACUAAGAGAGAGGGGCAAGGUGUUAGUCUCCUGUUACACUGAUUUCACAAUAAAUAAAAAAGAAAAAUAUCACAGUUCUGCGAAGUAGCCAGGUUAACUUAAAAGGACAUGUUUCUUUAACGGGAGAGAUCUAAAAUGAUUUCUCAUGGCACUAUGAUGUACACGACGUUGUUUUUCAGAGGUUCCACUGGAGUGGGAAGAAUUCCAUGAAAGAUCAUUUUAAAACUUAUUUUGAGUUAAACCUUGAUCCUUUUUUUUUUUCAAUAUACUAGACUUUGACACACUGCCUCUUGAGACUAGCAGAAUCUACUAUUCCAUAUACAUAAUAGAGCAUACUUUUUCUAUAAUCAGGUACCUUUUGCUGCUUUGGGAUAAGACUGUUUUCCUGUUUAGAUUUUAAGCAUUGCCAGAGAGAAGAAGCUGUUCUGUUCUUUUGAUUGUGGCACAGCCUGAUAGCUCUAGCUGCAGCCCCUCUGAUGAGGAAUGAGUGCCUACCAGGACAUCUGGGCAACUAGCUAUGUUUCCUCGGACUCCAGCUUAGUUGGCACUCCAUUGCCUGUGAGGAGCUUUCUGGCAUGUGAUUAUUUACUUCAGAAUUAGAGUUUCAGGCACCUACGUUGACUGUUUUAUAUCGUGUGCAGAAUAAUACAUCUUUUAAUGUCAGAUACAAUACACUGCACAUAUUGCUUUUGCACUGUUUUAAAAUUUUUGUACUAAAUGAUAGAAAAUAUUUAUAUUCUUUGAGUGUGAGCUUUGAAUAGAUGGUAUUAUCACUUUAUUGUUUUUUUUUUUUUUUAACAAAACGUUUUUCUCAAAUAUUCUAUUGCAAUGUUAUUCUGAGCAAGUCGUAUGCCAAAAUCUUGUAUCAUGUUUGUAUGGAAGAUUAAAUUUUACUCUUGUGUGGUAAGACUACUCAGUUAUUGAGUUCAUUGUUGGAAUUUGAUAUUCCAACACAAAGCCCACUAUGUAUUCAGAAAUCCAAGUUGGUGUCAUACAUUUCAUUUUGAUGUGAACUUUUCUUUGCUUUCCUUUGUUUCAAGACUCCAUUUUGCAAUAAACGUUUUGACAGUAAA